This 1270-nucleotide ribosomal RNA is filed under the name Impagidinium pallidum. Its description in RNAcentral is "eukaryotic LSU rRNA". It matches the Rfam family "Eukaryotic large subunit ribosomal RNA", at positions 46 to 1272 of the family's 3401-position model. The record is from RNAcentral. Lineage: Eukaryota; Dinophyceae.
GUAAGUGGAGGAAACACACUUAACAGGAUUUCUAUAGUAAUGGCGAUUGAACAGGGAUUUGCUCAUGCUGACAAUCGAAGCUGCCUGCUUAGAAUUGUAUUUAAUAGUUGCAUCAUCAACAAGUUUGCAUGUGCAAAUCCUUCGGGGAAGGGUAUCAAUGAAGGUGAAAAUCCUGUUUGUCAUGUUGCAAAAGUUUGUGUACGAUGUGCUUCCAAGAGUCGCAUUCCUUGACAUUGGAGUGCAAAUUGGGUGGUAAAGUUCAUCUUAAGCUGAAUAUUGGUUUGAGACCGAUAGUAAACAAGUACCAUGAGGGAAAUGUGAAAAGUACUUUGAAAAGAUAGUUAAAAGUGCCUGAACUUGCUGAGAUGGAAGCAAACAAACUUGCACAGUGGACCUGGGAUUGCUUGACAUUAGCAAGUUACAUGGUUUUACAAGGCUUUGCAACAUCAUCACACUUGCUGAUUUGACGUGCUUCCCAUUUCCAAGCUACAAUCAGAAAGCUUGUGUCAACUACCAGUAUGCUAAUGCUAAUCCAGUUCCUGGCUGCAUGGAAUAAUGUGUUGCUUGACUUAUUUCCUGAGUGUUUGAUGUCUUGCUUCCCCUGAUCGGAAUUGCAGGGUAUAUAUGCAAGCACGUAUGCGUCAGCAUACAAGUUGUUUUGACCCGUCUUGAAACACGGACCAAGGAGUCUAAUACUUGUGCAAGUUUGUGAAUCGAUAUUGUUCAAAUGCGCAAUGAACAUGGCAGGUAUGAUGUGUGCACAAACAGCCAACCAAUUAAUUGUAAGUGGUUUGAGUUUGAGCAUGUGUGUUAGGACCCGAAAGAUGGUGAACUAUGCUUGAGAAAAGUAAAUUCAGGGGAAACCCUGAUGGAGGCUUGCAGCGGUACUGACGUGCAAAUCGUUCGUCAUACUUGAGUAUAGGGGCGAAAGACUAAUCGAACCAUCUAGUAGCUGGUUCCUUCCGAAGUUUCCCUCAGGAUAGCUGGAAUUAUAUAGUUGUUUCAUGUAAAGCGAAUGAUAAGAGGAAUUGGGGACAUGCUGUCCUUGACCUAUUCUCAAACUUUAAAUGGGUAAGGUCUGAUGGUUGCUUGCAUGAACUGUUUGGGUGCAAUGUGAAUUCUAUGUGGGCCAUUUUUGGUAAGCAGAAUUGGCGAUGAGGGAUGAACCUAACGUUGGGAUAAAGUGCUUCACUGCUCGCUCAUCAGAUACCAUAAAAGGUGUUGGUUCAUUUUAACAGCAGGACGGUGGUCAUGGAAGUCGAAAUCCGCU